UACGUAGGGGGCAAGCGUUGUCCGGAAUCAUUGGGCGUAAAGCGCACGUAGGCGGAUCUUUAAGUCAGGGGUGAAAUCCUGGAGCUCAACUCCAGAACUGCCUUUGAUACUGAGGAUCUUGAGUUCGGGAGAGGUGAGUGGAACUGCGAGUGUAGAGGUGAAAUUCGUAGAUAUUCGCAAGAACACCAGUGGCGAAGGCGGCUCACUGGCCCGAUACUGACGCUGAGGCACGAAAGCGUGGGGAGCAAACAGG
This 253-nucleotide ribosomal RNA is filed under the name uncultured bacterium. Its description in RNAcentral is "partial 16S ribosomal RNA". It matches the Rfam family "Bacterial small subunit ribosomal RNA", at positions 524 to 776 of the family's 1533-position model. The record is from RNAcentral.